This 282-nucleotide ribosomal RNA is filed under the name uncultured Oscillospiraceae bacterium. RNAcentral describes it as "partial 16S ribosomal RNA". It matches the Rfam family "Bacterial small subunit ribosomal RNA", at positions 62 to 339 of the family's 1533-position model. The record is from RNAcentral. Lineage: Bacteria; Bacillati; Bacillota; Clostridia; Eubacteriales; Oscillospiraceae.
UUUAAUUGAUUUCUUCGGAAUGAAGUUUUUGUGACUGAGUGGCGGACGGGUGAGUAACGCGUGAGUAACCUGCCCUUCAGAGGGGGAUAGCGUUUGGAAACGAACGGUAAUACCGCAUAAUGUAUUUUGACCGCAUGAUCGAAAUACCAAAGAUUUAUCGCUGAAGGAUGGACUCGCGUCUGAUUAGGUAGUUGGUGGGGUAACGGCCUACCAAGCCGACGAUCAGUAGCCGGACUGAGAGGUUGAUCGGCCACAUUGGGACUGAGACACGGCCCAGACUCC